CCUACGGGUGGCAGCAGUGAGGAAUAUUGGUCAAUGGGCGAGAGCCUGAACCAGCCAAGUCGCGUCAGGGAGUACUGCCCUAUGGGUUGUAAACCUCUUUUGUCGGGGAGCAAAAGCCGGACGUGUCCGGCUGUGAGAGUACCCGAAGAAAAAGCAUCGGCUAACUCCGUGCCAGCAGCCGCGGUAAUACGGAGGAUGCGCGCGUUAUCCGGAUUUAUUUGGGUUAAAGGGGGCGCAGGCGGAUUUUUAAGUCAGCGGUAAAAUCGUGGGGCUCAACCCCAUCCAGCCGUUGAAACUGGGGAUCUAGAGUGUGCGAGAGGGAGGCGGAAUGCGUGGUGUAGCGGUGAAAUGCAUAGAUAUCACGCAGAACCCCGAUUGCGAAGGCAGCAUACCGGUGCACAACUGACGCUCAGGCACGAAAGCGUGGGUAUCGAACAGGAUUAGAUACCCCUGUAGUC
RNAcentral lists this ribosomal RNA (458 nucleotides) under uncultured bacterium. RNAcentral's name for it is "partial 16S ribosomal RNA". It matches the Rfam family "Bacterial small subunit ribosomal RNA", at positions 338 to 795 of the family's 1533-position model. The record is from RNAcentral.